GACGAACGCUGGCGGCGUGCUUAAUACAUGCAAGUCGAGCGAACAGACGCGGAGUUUGCUCCUUUCACGUUAGCCGCGGACGGGAGUGACACAUGAGUAUCCCCCACUUAUCUGUCUGGGAUCACCUCGAGACACCGGCGCUUACCCCGGAUAAUCUCUUGCACCGCGUGGUUCAUUGGUGAAUGUCGGCUUUUCUGUCUCUUCUCGCUGGUUCCGGGCUGCAUUAGCUAGUUGGUACGGUCACGGCUUACCAAGGCAAGUAUGCGUGGCCGAGCUGAGAGAGUGAUCGGCCACAUGGGAACGGAGACACGGACCAUGCUCCUACGAGAGGCAGCAGUAGGGAAUCUGCCGCAAUGGGCGAAAGCCUGGCGGAGCGGCGCCGCGUGUGUGAUGAAGGUCUUCGGAGCGGAAAGCUCUGUUACGAGGGAAGAACAGAUGUGGAAGGAACUAUAGACUGAGUGACGGUACCGAGUCAGAAAGCCACGGCUAACUACGUG
Molecule: ribosomal RNA, 497 nt
Filed under: uncultured bacterium
Lineage: Bacteria
Description: partial 16S ribosomal RNA
Rfam family: Bacterial small subunit ribosomal RNA
Source: RNAcentral